AGUUGUCGAUCGUGGCUCAGGACAUAACGCUGGCGGCGUGCAUAACACAUGCAAGUCGAACGAAAUCUACAUGAUUUAGUGGCGAACGGGUGAGUAACACGUGAGAAACCUGCCUUACACAGAGGGAUAGCCGUUGGAAACGACGAUUAAUACCUCAUGACACCGUGACAUCGCAUGAUGAUGCGGUCAAAGAUNUUAUCGGUGUAAGAUGGUCUCGCGCCUGAUUAGCUGGUUGGUGGGGUAACGGCCUACCAAGGCGACGAUCAGUAGCCGAUCUGAGAGGGUGGACGGCCACAUUGGGACUGAGACACGGCCCAAACUCCAUACGGGAGGCAGCAGUGGGGAAUUUUGCACAAUGGGGGAAACCCUGAUGCAGCGACGCCGCGUGAACGAAGAAGGCCUUCGGGUUGUAAAGUUCUGUCCUUGGUGAAGAUAAUGACAGUAACCAAGAAGAAAGCCCCGGCUAAAUACGUGCCAGCAGCCGCGGUAAUACGUAUGGGGCGAGCGUUGUCCGGAAUUAUUGGGCGUAAAGGGUACGUAGGCGGUUAUUUAAGUCCAUAUUAAAAGGCAUUGGCUCAACCAAUGUAAGGUGUGGAAACUGGAUAACUUGAGUAGAUGAGGGGAAAGUGGAAUNCCAAGUGUAGCCGGUGAAAUGCGUAGAUAUUUGGAGGAAUACCGGUGGCGAAGGCGACUUUC
RNAcentral lists this ribosomal RNA (696 nucleotides) under Peptostreptococcus sp. cp10.23. Its description in RNAcentral is "bacterial SSU rRNA". It matches the Rfam family "Bacterial small subunit ribosomal RNA", at positions 1 to 729 of the family's 1533-position model. Lineage: Bacteria; Bacillati; Bacillota; Clostridia; Peptostreptococcales; Peptostreptococcaceae. The record is from RNAcentral.